This 497-nucleotide ribosomal RNA is filed under the name uncultured bacterium. Its description in RNAcentral is "partial 16S ribosomal RNA". It matches the Rfam family "Bacterial small subunit ribosomal RNA", at positions 28 to 507 of the family's 1533-position model. The record is from RNAcentral.
GAUGAGCGCUGACGGCGUGCCUAAUACAUGCAAGUCGAGCGAACGGACGAGAAGCUUGCUUCUCUGAUGUUAGCGGCGGACGGGUGAGUAACACGUGGAUAACCUACCUAUAAGACUGGGAUAACUUCGGGAAACCGGAGCUAAUACCGGAUAAUAUUUUGAACCGCAUGGUUCAAAAGUGAAAGACGGUCUUGCUGUCACUUAUAGAUGGAUCCGCGCUGCAUUAGCUAGUUGGUAAGGUAACGGCUUACCAAGGCAACGAUGCAUAGCCGACCUGAGAGGGUGAUCGGCCACACUGGAACUGAGACACGGUCCAGACUCCUACGGGAGGCAGCAGUAGGGAAUCUUCCGCAAUGGGCGAAAGCCUGACGGAGCAACGCCGCGUGAGUGAUGAAGGUCUUCGGAUCGUAAAACUCUGUUAUUAGGGAAGAACAUAUGUGUAAGUAACUGUGCACAUCUUGACGGUACCUAAUCAGAAAGCCACGGCUAACUACGUG